CAUACUUCUGAGCUCUGAGAGUUCUAAUUUUAGUCCACGUCGCACGGUUGCCUAGAACGCUCCGAUUAUGAGGAGAGAUUCCCUUUAAUUCAAAGUAGGAAGAGCAGCGCUAUCGCUCUGUUUCUGCCUUCUGCGGUCUGGGAGGGUCAGGCCUGGAAGCAGCGUCUCUAUCUCCAGCUGCUCCCCGCGUCUUUCGCAGCUGUUCCAUAGCCCCCAGGGCGGAGGCCGCAACUGGCUCGGCAGUCGCGGCACGGUCAGGUUCGGGGCUUCAGGACGAGCGAACUUGAGCUGCAGAGCGCGCGCCCGGCUUCUUCCCGCACCCUCCGAUCCGAGGUUAGUCUCGGGUCUACCCGAUCCUGCAGCGGGGCUGGGUCGUCCUCCCAGACGACUCGACUCGAGUGAAAACUCUUUCUAGUUGUUGGGGCGCACAAAGGGGCGGGGCAGAGACAUCCGGGACGGAUUGAGAGUCCCGUCCGCACCUUAGGAAAGGCUGGGGAAGGCGAGUGCCUACGACCCGAAACAGAGUUCACGCGCGUUCACGCUCCGCUUUCAAAUCUCCCGGAGCCACGUGUAAGGCGCCUCGGCUCAAGUGCGGGAGUGAGCAACUAGUCAAGUGGCCAACUCAGUGCAGCCCUGCAAGGCCCUUGGGGCCUCCAGGAACCGGUCCGCCUCGGGGCCGGGCACAUUCUUUUCUCCCAUGAAGAGGUUGGUCGCGCAGGCCGCUGGCCGCCCUCUUCUUGGCUUAGCUGAUCUCCGUUUCUCGCGAGCUCAGAUGAGCGGCACAUAGCACCGAACUGGCGCUCGGAUCCUGGGGAAGAUCGGAUUCAACGCUUUCUUCAGAGCUUCUUCUUCCCUUAUUCUCCAAAACACUUAUUUUUUAUUUGCUUCUAUUUAUAUAAAGCAGGAUUUCCACGACACUUUCCACCUGUUCCACCUUUCCAAGACUUGGUCCUCAGGUUUCCGCUAGAAACUUUUCUGCAGGUGUGAGAACUCAUUUGCAGGGCAGGCAAGAGAGAGACAGGGACUAAACCUUCUAUGAUCUCUGGAGUUGGACGAGGAUCCUGUCGACAACCUUGAAUUGGAUUGGAAUGCCGAGAAGGAUAUGGGAUGAGGAUAGAGGACUCUGAUCAAUAAGCUGUAAAUAGGCCACUGUCUCUCAAACUGAGGGUCUUGACCCAUUGUGGUUUGCAAAGUUAUUAUGGCUUGUUAUCAAAAUUGUAACCCAGAAAUAUAAAAGAAUGAUGAAAUAGAAAUUAUCAGUGCACAGGGUAGGAAAACUGAGAGCUCUAAGCAUUGCUUGCUGAAACUUUUAUUGGGACACAAUGUAAAAUGUGUUUAUGAGUGUGGGUCUCAGUUACUGUAAAAGCUUGACUGCCACUGCUGA
Fukomys damarensis (Damara mole-rat) is the source of this 1384-nucleotide long non-coding RNA. The record is from Ensembl. Lineage: Eukaryota; Metazoa; Chordata; Mammalia; Rodentia; Bathyergidae.